RNAcentral lists this long non-coding RNA (1327 nucleotides) under Gallus gallus (chicken). Its description in RNAcentral is "long non-coding RNA NONGGAT002211". The record is from RNAcentral. Lineage: Eukaryota; Metazoa; Chordata; Aves; Galliformes; Phasianidae.
CCUGUGAUGUGGAACAUGUUUUGCACAGGCGAUGCUAUGAGAGCAGUUUGGCGCACUUCGGUAUGCAGCGAGUUCCUCGGUCAGGGUUCCCCUUGGAGUUCCUCAGCAGGCACUUGAAGUGGGAGCAGCUUGCCCCAUGGGAUGUGUGCUUGGAGAUCUCGAGCUGUGGUGGAAAGGGGCCUGGAUAGACUCUAGUGGAUCUAGACCUGAUCCUGCAUCGAUGGACUACCACCAAGACCAAUGGUUUGGCAAAUACUCCAGGAUUUUAUCCAGCUUUGUUCCCUCCGUGUCAUCCCUUUAGAGGUUUUCACAGAUCACUGCAAAUGAAGGAUGAACCAUAUGAAAUAUGAGACAGACAACAGAGAGGUGAGCUGGACAUGGCCAGUGAGCAGCCAGCAUGUGGAAACCACAGCCCAGCAGGUGUGGAGUGACUGCUAUCACUGACUUUGGAAGAACUCCUGUUCUAAACUCAGUAUGCAGAAGCAAACCCCAACAGCACACAGAGGCAACAUUCCUGUGUGACACCCCCAUCAUCAAGCCCAGAUGCUCUGGUGGAGCGCAGAUGUCCCACAGAGGUCCAAUCUAAUGCACUGAAGUGACAGAGAAUCUGCUGCAUCCUCAGCAGUGUUAACCAGCAGGUACACGAGCUGCCUGGCAGAGGAGCAGACAGAACUCUCCUGGGACUGACCGCAGUGUCACUUUCCUUGAUGGGUCAUUGAGGUUUGGGUUCUGCCCUCUUCACGCAUCUCCUCUGGCUGCAGGUCAGAGUGUGACUCUACAGGACAGACUAUUUUGGAACAUUUGUAACAGUGAGCACACUGCGCUGCUAGGCACGCAAAGCACGGCCUGACUCUGGUUUGGACCUGACCCUAAAAUCCCCCAGAAUCUAAGUAAACGCUGCACCACGCGUCCCCUUCUGUGUGGCUCUUUUUGAAGGACUCGGAAUGCACACGGGGGACAGCAGCUUUGGCUGCAGCUUCCCCCCAGCUCAAGACUACGGGUGCUCUUUUCAUGCAUGUCUUGCAGACUCAUUUCUUCCCCCAUCUGUUGAUUUUUUUUCUUCAUUAUGUGUUAGCAAUCAAUGACUAUCCCAUGGCACGUUCCUUUGCAGGGCUCUGAACACAGCAUUUCUUGCCAAGGGAGCAUUCCACACGAGUGGCUUCUGCUCACGCUGUCUGUUGCUGCAAGUGGGACUUUCAUGCCAGCCUAACCCUAAUGCGAUGACUAUCACAUUAGCAGCUUUACAUAUUCAUUGAUUUGCAGAAGUGUUUUGUAUUGCCUUAAGCUCCAAAACCUUUGUGACAACGCAUUACAAACAACAGACAAA